Molecule: long non-coding RNA, 1042 nt
Filed under: Homo sapiens (human)
Lineage: Eukaryota; Metazoa; Chordata; Mammalia; Primates; Hominidae
Description: long intergenic non-protein coding RNA 1322
Source: RNAcentral
GAGAUGGGUUUCUGGACUCGCGAAGCAGCUGCAACAAGGCAUCACUCACUGUAUAAGUAUUUCCAUUUCUGAGAGCAAAAGGAAGAACUUAAGCGGGCGGCACUUGGAGUGUAAAUUGCUUUGUAGUAUUUAAAGGCAGAAUGGAUCCUGGGCAGCCGAGCUGCAACAAACCGGCAGGACUUCCUGUGAAAUCAUGACCACCAUGUGCUCUUUCAGCCUCUAUCAGUUCCUACCUCUAAGCACCUGAGAGCCAAAGCAAACCACAGGAAACCACAGACUCAAACUAAACGUCAGCUUUUCCCGGCUCUCAAGCCUGCUGGUCCCUGAACUAAAACUCACAUUAUCAACUCUACUGGUUCUUAGGCCUUUGGAGUCAGACUGGAACUACAGCAUUGACUCUUCCGGAACUCCAGCUUACUGACUACAGAUCUUGGAACUUUUCAGCUUCCACAACCAUAAUGAAAGCCAAGCAUAUUCCAUCAUUUCCUAAAACCAAGAUAGAGCACAUAUGGGAACUUGUGAAAUAAGCUUCUUUGGACCUUUUAAGUUGCAUUAUCCCAUAAAAUGUGGUGGAUUCAAUGUUGUAUGGCCUGUAAAACUAAGUAAUGAAGGCUGAUAUGUACCCACCUGGCUCUGUCUUGGGAUCACACAACUUGGGAGCCAAAACAGGUGAGGAUGGGGAGGUGUCAAACAAGACCUAACCUCUCAACAAUCAGCUGGACACUGUUGUGUAAGAAUGUGAAGCUUGGCACUGCUGCAGCCAUCUUGUUCCAGGAAGGGUAAAACCUGAGGUUAGAAGCCAACAUCCUAAUGAUGGCAGAGAAGACAAAGAGAACCAGAGUCUAAAUGACAUUGUUGAGUUAGAUCACUACACUACCUCUAGUCUUCUUUUUAUGUGUGAUAAUAAAUCUCACUUAUACUUAAGCCAUUUGAAGUUGAGUCUAAUGUUCAUUUCAGACCAAAGCAGCUUAACUGACAUGUUCUCCGCUUUGUUACCCUAUCCAGUUGUUUUCAUGCAGGAAAUAAAUCUCAAAUUACCUCA